CCUACGAGAGGCAGCAGUGAGGAAUAUUGGUCAAUGGGCGAGAGCCUGAACCAGCCAAGUCGCGUGAAGGAUGAAGGAUCUAUGGUUUGUAAACUUCUUUUAUAAAGGAAUAAAACGAGGCACGUGUGCCUUUUUGCAUGUACUUUAUGAAUAAGGAUCGGCUAACUCCGUGCCAGCAGCCGCGGUAAUACGGAGGAUCCGAGCGUUAUCCGGAUUUAUUGGGUUUAAAGGGUGCGUAGAUGGGUUGUUAAGUCAGUUGUGAAAGUUUGCGGCUCAACCGUAAAAUUGCAAUUGAUACUGGCAGUCUUGAGUACAGUUGAGGAAGGCGGAAUUCGUGGUGUAGCGGUGAAAUGCUUAGAUAUCACGAAGAACCCCGAUUGCGAAGGCAGCUUACUAAACUGUGACUGACAUUGAUGCUCGAAAGUGUGGGUAUCAAACAGGAUUAGAUACCCCAGUAGUC
RNAcentral lists this ribosomal RNA (460 nucleotides) under uncultured bacterium. RNAcentral describes it as "partial 16S ribosomal RNA". It matches the Rfam family "Bacterial small subunit ribosomal RNA", at positions 338 to 795 of the family's 1533-position model. The record is from RNAcentral.